GAUGAACGCUAGCGGCAGGCUUAAUACAUGCAAGUCGUGGGGCAGCAGGGGUAGCAAUACCCGCUGGCGACCGGCAAACGGGUGCGGAACACGUACGCAACCUUCCUUUAACUGGAGAAUAGCCCCUCGAAAGAGGGAUUAAUACUCCGUAACAUAUUGAUAAGGCAUCUUAUUAAUAUUAUAGCUCCGGCGGUUAAAGAUGGGCGUGCGACUGAUUAGAUAGUUGGCGGGGUAACGCCCACCAAGUCUGCGAUCAGUAACUGGUGUGAGAGCACGACCAGUCACACGGGCACUGAGACACGGGCCCGACUCCUACGGGAGGCAGCAGUAAGGAAUAUUGGUCAAUGGACGAAAGUCUGAACCAGCCAUGCCGCGUGGAGGAUGAAGGUCCUCUGGAUUGUAAACUUCUUUUAUAGGGGAAC
This 422-nucleotide ribosomal RNA is filed under the name uncultured bacterium. RNAcentral describes it as "bacterial SSU rRNA". It matches the Rfam family "Bacterial small subunit ribosomal RNA", at positions 28 to 447 of the family's 1533-position model. The record is from RNAcentral.